RNAcentral lists this unclassified non-coding RNA (158 nucleotides) under uncultured Hypocreales. RNAcentral's name for it is "sequence contains ITS1". Lineage: Eukaryota; Fungi; Ascomycota; Sordariomycetes; Hypocreales. The record is from RNAcentral.
CAGAGUGUAAAAACUCCCUAAACCCCUGUGAACAUACCAUCUGUUGCUUCGGCGGACCGUCCCUGGCCUUCCCGGCCGGGAACCAGGCGCCCGCCGGGGGAAACCAAACUCUUGUUUUUUCAGUAUCUUCUGAGUGGCGUAAAGCAAAAAAUAAAUCA